This 460-nucleotide ribosomal RNA is filed under the name uncultured bacterium. RNAcentral describes it as "partial 16S ribosomal RNA". It matches the Rfam family "Bacterial small subunit ribosomal RNA", at positions 338 to 795 of the family's 1533-position model. The record is from RNAcentral.
CCUACGGGUGGCAGCAGUGAGGAAUAUUGGUCAAUGGACGAGAGUCUGAACCAGCCAAGUAGCGUGAAGGAUGACUGCCCUAUGGGUUGUAAACUUCUUUUAUAUGGGAAUAAAACGUUCCACGUGUGGGAUUUUGUAUGUACCAUAUGAAUAAGGAUCGGCUAACUCCGUGCCAGCAGCCGCGGUAAUACGGAGGAUCCGAGCGUUAUCCGGAUUUAUUGGGUUUAAAGAGAGCGUAGGUGGAUUGUUAAGUCAGUUGUGAAAGUUUGCGGCUCAACCGUAAAAUUGCAGUUGAAACUGGCAGUCUUGAGUACAGUAGAGGUGGGCGGAAUUCGUGGUGUAGCGGUGAAAUGCUUAGAUAUCACGAAGAACUCCGAUUGCGAAGGCAGUUCACUGGACUGCAACUGACACUGAGGCUCGAAAGUGUGGGUAUCAAACAGGAUUAGAUACCCUAGUAGUC